GACGAACGCUGGCGGCGUGCCUAAUACAUGCAAGUAGAACGCUGAAGAGAGGAGCUUGCUCUUCUUGGAUGAGUUGCGAACGGGUGAGUAACGCGUAGGUAACCUGCCUGGUAGCGGGGGAUAACUAUUGGAAACGAUAGCUAAUACCGCAUAAAAUGGAUUAUCGCAUGAUAAUCCAUUGAAAGGUGCAAAUGCAUCACUACCAGAUGGACCUGCGUUGUAUUAGCUAGUUGGUGGGGUAACGGCUCACCAAGGCGACGAUACAUAGCCGACCUGAGAGGGUGAUCGGCCACACUGGGACUGAGACACGGCCCAGACUCCUACGGGAGGCAGCAGUAGGGAAGCUUCGGCAAUGGACGGAAGUCUGACCGAGCAACGCCGCGUGAGUGAAGAAGGUUUUCGGAUCGUAAAGCUCUGUUGUAAGAGAAGAACGAGUGUGAGAGUGGAAAGUUCACACUGUGACGGUAACUUACCAGAAAGGGACGGCUAACUACGUG
Molecule: ribosomal RNA, 497 nt
Filed under: uncultured bacterium
Lineage: Bacteria
Description: partial 16S ribosomal RNA
Rfam family: Bacterial small subunit ribosomal RNA
Source: RNAcentral